Molecule: ribosomal RNA, 497 nt
Filed under: uncultured bacterium
Lineage: Bacteria
Description: partial 16S ribosomal RNA
Rfam family: Bacterial small subunit ribosomal RNA
Source: RNAcentral
GAUGAACGCUGGCGGCGUGCCUAAUACAUGCAAGUCGAGCGAACGGACGAGAAGCUUGCUUUUCUGAUGUUAGCGGCGGACGGGUGAGUAACACGUGGAUAACCUACCUAUAAGACUGGGAUAACUUCGGGAAACCGGAGCUAAUACCGGAUAAUAUUUUGAACCGCAUGGUUCAAAAGUGAAAGACGGUCUUGCUGUCACUUAUAGAUGGAUCCGCGCUGCAUUAGCUAGUUGGUAAGGUAACGGCUUACAAAGGCAACGAUGCAUAGCCGACCUGAGAGGGUGAUCGGCCACACUGGAACUGAGACACGGUCCAGACUCCUACGGGAGGCAGCAGUAGGGAAUCUUCCGCAAUGGGCGAAAGCCUGACGGAGCAACGCCGCGUGAGUGAUGAAGGUCUUCGGAUCGUAAAACUCUGUUAUUAGGGAAGAACAUAUGUGUAAGUAACUGUGCACAUCUUGACGGUACCUAAUCAGAAAGCCACGGCUAACUACGUG